RNAcentral lists this ribosomal RNA (253 nucleotides) under uncultured bacterium. RNAcentral's name for it is "partial 16S ribosomal RNA". It matches the Rfam family "Bacterial small subunit ribosomal RNA", at positions 524 to 776 of the family's 1533-position model. The record is from RNAcentral.
UACGUAGGGUCCGAGCGUUGUCCGGAAUUAUUGGGCGUAAAGGGCUCGUAGGCGGUUUGUCACGUCGGGAGUGAAAACUCAGGGCUCAACCCUGAGCGUGCUUCCGAUACGGGCAGACUAGAGGUAUGCAGGGGAGAACGGAAUUCCUGGUGUAGCGGUGGAAUGCGCAGAUAUCAGGAGGAACACCGGUGGCGAAGGCGGUUCUCUGGGCAUGACCUGACGCUGAGGAGCGAAAGCAUGGGGAGCGAACAGG